This 728-nucleotide ribosomal RNA is filed under the name Salmonella enterica subsp. enterica serovar Rissen. RNAcentral describes it as "partial 23S ribosomal RNA". It matches the Rfam family "Bacterial large subunit ribosomal RNA", at positions 562 to 1190 of the family's 2925-position model. The record is from RNAcentral. Lineage: Bacteria; Pseudomonadati; Pseudomonadota; Gammaproteobacteria; Enterobacterales; Enterobacteriaceae.
ACGUACAAGCAGUGGGAGCCCCACCACUAAGCCAGUGGUGAACUCCACAUACGCAUCCUUUGCUGAGGAUACGGUUAACGGAGCGAAAGCGACGUUCAACCUCAAAAGAAGCAGAGGGGGCUUAGUGGUGGGGUGACUGCGUACCUUUUGUAUAAUGGGUCAGCGACUUAUAUUCUGUAGCAAGGUUAACCGUAUAGGGGAGCCGGAGGGAAACCGAGUCUUAACCGGGCGUUAAGUUGCAGGGUAUAGACCCGAAACCCGGUGAUCUAGCCAUGGGCAGGUUGAAGGUUGGGUAACACUAACUGGAGGACCGAACCGACUAAUGUUGAAAAAUUAGCGGAUGACCUGUGGCUGGGGGUGAAAGGCCAAUCAAACCGGGAGAUAGCUGGUUCUCCCCGAAAGCUAUUUAGGUAGCGCCUCGUGAAUUCAUCUCCGGGGGUAGAGCACUGUUUCGGCUAGGGGGCCAUCCCGGCUUACCAACCCGAUGCAAACUGCGAAUACCGGAGAAUGUUAUCACGGGAGACACACGGCGGGUGCUAACGUCCGUCGUGAAGAGGGAAACAACCCAGACCGCCAGCUAAGGUCCCAAAGUCAUGGUUAAGUGGGAAACGAUGUGGGAAGGCCCAGACAGCCAGGAUGUUGGCUUAGAAGCAGCCAUCAUUUAAAGAAAGCGUAAUAGCUCACUGGUCGAGUCGGCCUGCGCGGAAGAUGUAACGGGGCUAAACCAU